Molecule: long non-coding RNA, 2410 nt
Organism: Dermacentor silvarum
Lineage: Eukaryota; Metazoa; Arthropoda; Arachnida; Ixodida; Ixodidae
Exons: 3
Source: RefSeq, a predicted model, not a curated record
UGUAAUGAAAUGUCACGUAGUUGGCUUGCAUAAUAGUGCGAGAAGGUAGCUUGUGUCUUGCUGCAAAAUCGCCUUAUACGUGGCGCGCCAGGCAGAUGUGGACCAACGAUUUUCGUGCCGUGCAGUGCUUUGCCUUGGUUUGUGGUUGUGGAUAGUUGGGGUGCACGUUACAAAGAAAGCAUGUGAAUUAUUAGCGUGCCUGAGCUCGUGGGGGUCCACUACGCAGCGGCAUGUAUGCUGGGACAGCGGCUCCUUUAUUUUUAGAAAAAUAGACGAGGCGCUGGCUGGGAGUAACAUCGUCGACGCAGCACCGGCAACUUGGAGAGCGCUUUUCGACCGCGUCGUACCAUUGGAAAGUGGCGAGGCUGUGACCACAUAACGGAGGGGACUCCUUGGCUAUGGCUGCCAUGGUGCAAUGUGUAAUCUGGAUGGUCGAGUCAGGUACACCUAGGAAAUGUAUACAUUGACAAGGAGAGGUGGGACCUGCUCCAGCUCAAUGGCCGUGACUGCCUGUUCUGCAAAGAAUCGGCAAAACUGGUGUCACAGGGACUCUGUUGGCGCUUCCUGAAGGACGGCAAUGCCGUUGAGAAGCCGGCAUUGAGCCCCCAUAAAUUGGUAGCUGUGGGUAGUAAGUAUUAUUCACAUUCUUUCAGGUUUGUUUGUGUGAUGUUUGUAAGAAUAUAUGUAUUACACUGAAAUGAUUAAUUUUGUAGAUGCAUUUGAGUUAUAUCUUUCGAGGUGUGGUGCCCCUGAGGACGAGAAGAAAUUCUGGUGCUCGAAAAUGAAUGGAUGCCUAGAGACAUGCUGAGAGACAUUAAGUAAGCGUGUAAUUGUAAACAUGUGUACAUGCAGUAAACCUCGUUAAUUUGAAUUCGUAGGCGCCAUGGAAAAUCUCAGAAUUAUCCAAACACAAUAACACGAUUCAGGCAAAAAAUUUCAUUACGACUUUUUGUUGCUACUUUUCUUUGCAACAACACGCCACUUUUAAAUGACGAAUUUUUGAUUACUGAAAGUAAUCAGCGAUCCUGGUUUGUCGCGUCCCGUAGUUCGUGGCUCCAAGGAUACUGUUUUCCAGCAGGACAACUGCCACUUUAAUCGCAUAAUCAUCGCACCCCUCAACUGGGUGGCAUAAAAGUUUGUUUCCCCCUUCAUGCAUUGACGGCACUCCAUACGUACUGUUGCAGCAAAUGAUGACAGCAUUAAUGACACAUGUUCGCUACUUUGCAAGGUGUCCAUUGCACAUCACGCUUCAACCCUUUCGUGGUCAAAGACAUGAACAUACUUCUCCGUGAACAAAUCCACAAUGUUCGAGGUCAUACAUUUACGAUGCCGGCUGCAUCUUUAAAAAUGUGCUUAUGCUGUAACGUUUUUUGUCCUGCAUGUGCUGGCACUGUGCAGGAUACAGGGAUUUUUUUUUGCGCCGACAGUUUGUCUUUUUUUUUCCCCUCGCCGGUGCGUCUGCUACCGCUGGCACAUCUGGGCGCGCGGUGGGUAGUUCCAGUUUCGCCCCACAGGCAGUUCCUGCCUCUUGCACUUGCACAACUGAUGGAUAACUGGUUUCCAUUCUCAGAAAGGGUGACAGCAUGAUACCUGCUGAUUUAAUGCUCACAGCUGUUCGAAUACAUCCUUUCCCAGGUGGGCACUGGCACAAAAAAAUUAUGCUGCCGUGCUUGCAUUACCUUCUUUGUUUUUACGAAGACUCGCAAAAUCAUUGCUUAUCGGUGCCAAUAAGAUGAAGGAUUAGCGGUGGUUUCUCACUCUUCGUUUUCUGACGAGCGUACGAACUAGUUAUCCUGAGUGCGCUCACCUACGCAGUUUAAUUACACUAUUGACGAAUUAUGCUGUAAAAACGAAAAAAGAAUUUUCCCAAUUUAUGGUUGCUCUGAAAAAAUUACGCUAAAUUUUUUUUCCAAAUGGAUCUCACUGAAGAAUUCAUAAACAUGUAUAAAAAUACUCUUGAAGGGCGCAAUUAGUGAAAAAAAUCCGCCUUCAAAUGGUUACAAUUGCUUUGUGCUGUUUUGCUAUGCACCGAUAUGUGCAAGUUACACGUAUGUCAUUAUGAAAGCUUUUGAGUGUGCGCUUGAGCUUAGCAAUCGUGAUUCUGGCAGACAAGCAGGAAUAUAGCGCUGUCCUGCAUUAUUUCUCGUAAUGGUGACAUUAGAUGCACCGUGUCUUGAAACAGGGCAUAGUAGACAACAUGUAUCCGAUCCACAGCGGAAGGUUCGAAUUAUCGAGGUUUUACUGCAUGUAGUUGUGUCAAUAAAGUGUGUACCAGCCAUUCAACGUGUGUAUAUAGAUUUGCAAAUAAAGUGUUUUCAGUGAAUAAUGGCUCGUUCCUUUAAAUGCAGGCACACAUUACCACAGGUACAUUGCAUGUCUAAAGGAUUAAGUUUUAGAGGGCAUGACGAGG